Molecule: long non-coding RNA, 1741 nt
Filed under: Gossypium barbadense (sea-island cotton)
Lineage: Eukaryota; Viridiplantae; Streptophyta; Magnoliopsida; Malvales; Malvaceae
Description: long non-coding RNA (GBAR_LNC002958)
Source: RNAcentral
GCAGAGAAGAAAAAUAAAAAGAAAGAGAAGGGAGAAAAGAGAGAAGGGCGGAAGGAGAGGGGGGAAAAGGGAGCUCUGGCCAUGGGGGCCGGUCACCGGACGGCCACCGGAGGCUCGCCGGCGCCGGCGCCGGCCACCGCACGCGGUGGCCGGAAAAGGUAAAAAAAUUUAUUUUUUUUUUUAUUUUUUUUUAUUGUAUUUUUUAUAUCAUACUUUCAUACAUUUAACGUAUUUAAUGUAUGUAUUUGUGAGAAAAUAAACAAAAAUGAAAAUAAAUCUAGAACCACCUCUUAUUUUCGAUUUGCAAUCUUGGUGUUUUGUGCGCCGAUUUGGUGGUUGUUUUUUUUUGUGUUGAUAUCUAUUUCGGACUGGUAUUCUUGCUAUAUCUACUGACUUUUUUGAAAUAUAUGUGUAUUCAAAAGAUCUAAAAAUCAAGCCCCCUUUACAGAAAGCCAAAUAGGCUUUUAUAGCCUUUACAAAAUUGUAUUUAAUGUUUAUUGUCUUGUCUUCUUUCUGGUCCUGCAGGGAAUGGGUGAAGGUGACAGAGGCAUGGUGGUACAGAGGAGCAGGUGGCCGACAUGGUGGCAUGGAGAGCUGGGGUGCCAGGGUAUGGGGCUGCUGGCUGGUGUCAGAACAAGUGGAAUUAGGGUUUCUUCUCUGCUGAUUUGUUUUGGGCUGCUGGGCUAGGUUAAUUUAGGGUAUUGGGCUAGUAGUACUUGGGUUAGGCUAAUUGGGCUGGUGGUAUUUUGGGUUUGACGGGCUUUAGUGUGAAUGGGUCAUGUUGGGUUUGUGGGUUGUUUGGUUUAGGGCCCAAAAUUGGCCUGUACAACCUAUAUCCUUUAGAGCAAACUUAUUGUGUAGCUGCUGAACAAAACAAUUUAUUUCAUCAGAUGAAUUGCCAGUGAUAACAAUGUCAUCCACAUACACAAGAACAUAGAGAGUGUAGCCAGAGGAAGAUUGAACAAAUAAUGAAGCAUCUAAUUUUGACAAAGUAAAACCAGUAGAAACAAGAAACUGUUUUAACUUGUCAAACCAGGCACGAGGAGCUUGUCGUAAUCAAUAUAAAGCUUUAGUCAGACGACACACCAGUUUUUCACCAUUUGGACCAUGUUGCACUUAAUUGGGAGGUUGCUGCAUAAACACGUCAUCAGUUAGAUCUCCAUUCAAAAGGCAUUAUUGAUGUCAACUUGCCGGAGGUGCCAACUCCUGGUCACAGCAAUAGAGAGGAUGACUCGAAUGGUAGUAGGUUUACUACUGGACUGAACGUCUCCUUAAAAUCACAGCCAGGUACCUAUGAGCAGCCUUUGGCUACCAACCAUGCCUUCUAUUAGUUAAUCGUCCCAUCAGGAUUCUUCUUUAUCUUAAACAACCAUUUGCAACCAAUCACUUUCCAACCAGGAGGAAGGAGACUAAGCUCCCAUGUAGAGUUAGCUAUUAAAGCAUCUAAUUUAGCUUCGACAGCGAGACGCUAGUCUGGAUGAGCAAAGGCCUCCUCAACAGAACUUGGCUCAACCUCAACUUUGUCAGCAUACAAAGCUUUGGGCUUAAAUAUCCCAGCUUUAGACCUAGUAACCAUAGCAUGAGUAUUAGUAGUAGAGACGGAAGGAACAGUAACUCGCUCAGUAGGAAUAGUUGUAGUAGAGGGAACCUCCUCUCAUACAACAAACCCCAAUUCAUUCAACAAAUUUACAAGACCAUGUUGAUAAGCACUACACGUAGAAGACGAAUCAUACUGAUUUGU